AUGCAAAUCUCCGAUGUGUUCCUCCUCUACUUAUGUGUUGAUGGUCAGACUCUGACAGAAUCUGAAGCAGUGGUUAAAAGGCCUGAAGAAUCCCACAGACUGACCUGUUCAGUCUCUGGAUUCACAUUCAGCGACUACUGGAUGGCUUGGGUCAGACAGGCUCCUGGAAAAGGACUGGAGUGGAUCGCUAUUAUCAGAUAUGACAGUGCUAGCAUCUACUACUCUAAUUCAGUCAAAAGCCGGUUCACCAUCUCCAGAGACAACAGCAGACAGCAGGUGUAUCUGCAGAUGAACAGUCUGAAGACUGAAGACACUGCUGUGUAUUACUGUGCCAGAGAGACACAGUGA
Molecule: non-coding RNA, 348 nt
Organism: Labrus mixtus (cuckoo wrasse)
Lineage: Eukaryota; Metazoa; Chordata; Actinopteri; Labriformes; Labridae
Source: the annotation of a RefSeq genome assembly